Molecule: ribosomal RNA, 440 nt
Filed under: uncultured bacterium
Lineage: Bacteria
Description: partial 16S ribosomal RNA
Rfam family: Bacterial small subunit ribosomal RNA
Source: RNAcentral
CCUACGGGAGGCAGCAGGGGGGGAUAUUGCACAAUGGGGGGAACCCUGAUGCAGCGACGCCGCGUGGGUGAAGAAGCGCCUCGGCGCGUAAAGCCCUGUCAGCAGGGAAGAAAAUGACGGUACCUGAAGAAGAAGCCCCGGAUAACUACGUGCCAGCAGCCGCGGUAAUACGUAGGGGGCAAGCGUUAUCCGGAUUUACUGGGGGUAAGGGGGGCGCAGACGGCGAUGCAAGCCAGGAGUGAAAGCCCGGGGCCCAACCCCGGGACUGCUCUUGGAACUGCGUGGCUGGAGUGCAGGAGGGGCAGGCGGAAUUCCUGGUGUAGCGGUGAACUGCGUAGAUAUCAGGAGGAACCCCGGUGGCGAAGGCGGCCUGCUGGACUGCAACUGACGUUGAGGCCCGAAAGCGUGGGGAGCAAACAGGAUUAGAUACCCUUGUAGUC